AUGAACGCUAGCUACAGGCCUAACACAUGCAAGUCAGGGCAGCACUGAGGAGCUUGCUUUCUCUGGUGGCGACCGGCGGAUGGGUGAGCAACGCGUAUCCAACCUGGCCUGCGCGCGGGGAUAGCCCUUGGAAAUGAGGAUUAACACCCGAUACGCCUUUUGCCCGCAUGGGCAUUUGGUGAAUCUUGCGCAGGAUGGGGAUGCGUAUGAUUAGCUUGUUGGCGGGGUAACGGCCCACCAAGGCGACGAUCAUUAGGGGUUCUGAGAGGAAGGUCCCCCACACUGGAACUGAGACACGGUCCAGACUCCUACGGGAGGCAGCAGUGAGGAAUAUUGGUCAAGUGGAGGCAACUCUGAACCAGCCAAGUAGCGUGCAGGAUGACGGCCCUAUGGGUUGUAAACUGCUUUUAUGCGGGGAUAAAUGAUCCUACGUGUAGGAUUUUGCAGGUACCGCAUGAAUAAGGACCGGCUAAUUCCGUG
This 480-nucleotide ribosomal RNA is filed under the name uncultured bacterium. RNAcentral's name for it is "bacterial SSU rRNA". It matches the Rfam family "Bacterial small subunit ribosomal RNA", at positions 29 to 507 of the family's 1533-position model. The record is from RNAcentral.